AACUACCGGUUACUAGGUAGAAGACCGCAAAGAGAAGGAAACCCGUCAUUGGUUAGGAUAAACAUAUCAAGGAUUAACUCUCUGAGGAACAAAAUAGGGAUUACAACUACCUUUUUACUGGGUAGAAUACCAUGAAAGAGAAAAUCUGUCAUCGGUUAAGAUGAACAUAUCAAGGAUAGACUCUUGGAAAAUAAUCCACUAGGGACUCUACUGAAGAGAGAAACAGGGAUACUUUCGUCGGGUAUUGGGCAAGAAGUAAC
Molecule: long non-coding RNA, 260 nt
Filed under: Lathyrus oleraceus (garden pea)
Lineage: Eukaryota; Viridiplantae; Streptophyta; Magnoliopsida; Fabales; Fabaceae
Description: Pisum sativum (pea) long non-coding RNA (PSAT_LNC009977)
Source: RNAcentral